UACGGAGGGUGCAAGCGUUAUCCGGAUUCACUGGGUUUAAAGGGUGCGUAGGUGGGUUGGUAAGUCAGUGGUGAAAUCUCCGGGCUUAACCUGGAAACUGCCAUUGAUACUAUCAAUCUUGAAUACCUUGGAGGUGAGCGGAAUAUGUCAUGUAGCGGUGAAAUGCUUAGAUAUGACAUAGAACACCAAUUGCGAAGGCAGCUCACUACACAAUAUUGACGCUGAGGCACGAAAGCGUGGGGAUCAAACAGG
This 252-nucleotide ribosomal RNA is filed under the name uncultured bacterium. RNAcentral's name for it is "partial 16S ribosomal RNA". It matches the Rfam family "Bacterial small subunit ribosomal RNA", at positions 524 to 776 of the family's 1533-position model. The record is from RNAcentral.